Aedes aegypti (yellow fever mosquito) is the source of this 559-nucleotide long non-coding RNA. RefSeq lists it as uncharacterized. The record is from RefSeq and is a predicted model, not a curated record. NCBI's taxonomy places the organism in Eukaryota, Metazoa, Arthropoda, Insecta, Diptera, Culicidae. The transcript is spliced from 3 exons.
ACGGAGAACCGAAACAACUCAAACAUAAGAUAAAAAGUACUCAAAAUGAAGUAUCUUUCCAACACUACUGUUUUGGAUAUUAUUUUCUUCUGACUUUUAAGUACUUUUAACUUAAACUUGAGGUACAUUUGAAACUACUUAUUUUUGAGUUGUUUGAUAGAUGUUGUUUCUGAAACCGUUCAAUUUUUAUUUUGUUUUGUUUCGCAUUCUGAGAAAGUAUCCAAACGCAAGUAUUGAUACAGUACUUAGUUUUGGAUGAAAAUUUUAUUUUUGCGUUAUAGUAGGUUUGGUCGUCGGUUGAAUGCAGGUGCGAUCCGGAUGGGUCAAAACCGAGACUGCCACCCUGGCAUGCAAGGAUCAUUUAGGGAUCAGUAUGGAGUGAUCAUUGCAUUACAGCCUCCGAACGAUGGACGUAAAGAAGGAAUGUCCUGCCGGUAGUCCCUAAACAACGGAAGCACACGGAUUACCUGGAGCAGAUUUGCACAACUGUGCAUUUAAUCAAGACUGUUGGACAUAUUUUUUGUACAGUUUUAUUUGAGAGCAAAUAAAGUGUAGUUUG